UACGUAGGGUCCAAGCGUUGUUCGGAAUCACUGGGCGUAAAGGGAGCGUAGGCGGGAUCGUAAGUUAGAAGUAUAAUACACCGGCUCAACCGGUGGCCUGCUUUUAAUACUGCGAUUCUUGAGUUUGGAAGAGGGAGAUGGAAUUCCAGGUGUAGCGGUGGAAUGCGUAGAUAUCUGGAAGAACACCAGCAGCGAAGGCGGUCUCCUGGUCCUAUACUGACGCUGAGGCUCGAAAGCUAGGGGAGCAAACAGG
RNAcentral lists this ribosomal RNA (253 nucleotides) under uncultured bacterium. Its description in RNAcentral is "partial 16S ribosomal RNA". It matches the Rfam family "Bacterial small subunit ribosomal RNA", at positions 524 to 776 of the family's 1533-position model. The record is from RNAcentral.